Molecule: long non-coding RNA, 1960 nt
Organism: Bos grunniens (domestic yak)
Lineage: Eukaryota; Metazoa; Chordata; Mammalia; Artiodactyla; Bovidae
Source: Ensembl
AUGAGAAGGUUGGCAUGUGGAGCCACUGUUCCUAUGAGGAAACAGAAUCCCUGGGAUGAACAAGAUAGACACACAGAAUGGAAGAAUAGACACACAGAAUUGCACAUGGAAGCAAUUUUAAAUGAUAACACACUAUAAAACUGAAGAUUGUUGAGGCUGUUCUAUACAUGAGAUGUGUGAAAAUACAAGGAAAACAGAGAACAAAGAGGAGGUCACAGAUAGAAUCUUGAAGAAUGAGAAGCCCCAGCAUCCGAUGUGACAAUUCUGUAGCUGCCAUGGGCCAGGACAGGAAGAAAUGCACAAACGAUGACAGACAUCACGUUUAGCAUCUAGGAAAACAAGGGUGUGAAUUUAACAGAUCAAAUUUUCUACUAGCUAGUACUAGGAGAUUGUUUCUUGUUAGAAAUAAAAAUUGAUAGAACUGAUUUAGCAAAUGCCUAAUAUAUAAUGCUUAGUCUGCCUUUCAGACCAAUUUAAGAUUGUCUAAAUUUUAGUCAUGUCUGUCUACUCCUCCACGUUAGAGCUCAAAUUCACUUUCUUCUGCAGUGUUUUGACAGUUGAAAGACUCUGGUUGGAUUAUUAAUUUCAGCCGUAUUUGAUCUCUGAGGAUUCAGCAGUAACUACUCUCCCAUCCUCAAGUUACACGACAGUUAUACUUUUAUUUCUUCAGAACUUUUGCAAAUUUAAUAAGUGUUAAAUGCCAGUGUUACUUUAAAUUCUCUUCUGAGCCUUAGAGUAGGUGCAUAUGCAUGAUAGAUACGAUCAAUGUUAACAAUAUUCCAUAUGCCAUUUCUCCUCCCAGCAACUUGAAGACAUUAUGUAGGAACUUGGCAGAGGAGAAUCCAAACUGAUACAUACUUGGAUUGGUAACAGCUGUCAGAGUUUAACAAUAGAACCUCUGCAAGCAGUGACCCUGUGGGCUUCCCUAAUCUAGUUCCUAAUGGCUCAUCCUGCUUCCUUUCAUGUACCCCUUCCUGGAGAGGCAGUGACAAAUCCAUCUCAAGGGAAAGGUGCAUAACCUACAGCUGUUGAUCUAGUCUUUAGUUAUAGUAUAAAUGUUGAGUUGAGGUAACUUUCUCUGUGACAUUAACUUCAGAGCAACCCUCAUCUCUCAUCUAUUGAUAUUCUUAAAAACCGUAAUUCUAUUUUUACUUCAGCUUUAACAGUCUCUGCAUAAUAAAUACCUAUAUGGUAUUUCAUCUUAAGACUUCAAAAAUGUUCAAAGACUAUCUGGUUCUUCUAUUUUGAGAUUCCGUGAAAGUCUGUUCUCCCCAUGUGUGGGCUUUAGGAUCUUAGCUAUUUCCUUAAACUAAUAUUAGAGUGGCUGUGAUGUAUGAGGAACUGUGUGGCCCUGGGGACUCAGAGGUGAAAGCUGGGAUUGCCUUUGUUUGAUCUUAUUUCAUAAUGAAUCUUAUUAAAUAGUGAUUUAAGUUGGCAUGGGUGACUUUGGGGAUCCUGGGAGGGGAACAGCAACCUCCAAUUCAGCUUUCAGGGAGUAGUAAAAGACUCACCACUGGUGAGAGCUGAGUAGAAGAAGGAGGGAGAGGAAGUGGGAAGAGUUCCCCCUCCCGCAAUGUACCUUGCCUUCCCCUCCAAGUGUCUCCAUUGACAGGCGGCUAAGUGGAUGCGGGCAGUAAUGCACAGAGGCUAGAUAGUCAGCCAGGGCCACAGGAUCAAGGACUUGGUAUGCCUUUUGAUCAGACAAGAGAGUCCUGCUGAAGUCCUUUCAAAGAGUCUAAUGUCCUUGUGAAGUAACAAGCAAAUACUGACCACCUACUAUGUGCUAGUAUGUAGUAGGCACAUUGCUAGUUGGGGUUACAGGAGUGAGUAAAGCAUGAUGCCUAGUGUCUUCCACAUGCGUGAGUGUAUGUGUGAGAGAGAAAAGUAAACACCCAAUAAUUAUAAUAGCAAUAGCAUAAAUCAGAGGCAUGCACUGCUAAGGUCUCCCCACGGAGUUCAG